GGGCCCGCACAAGCGGAGGAACAUGUGGUUUAAUUCGAUGAUACGCGAGGAACCUUACCCGGGCUUGAAAUGCAUUUGACCGGCUCAGAGACGAGCCUUCCCUUCGGGGCAAAUGUGUAGGUGCUGCAUGGUUGUCGUCAGCUCGUGCCGUGAGGUGUCGGCUUAAGUGCCAUAACGAGCGCAACCCUCAUCAUUAGUUACUAACAGGUUAAGCUGAGGACUCUAAUGAGACUGCCAUCGUAAGAUGCGAGGAAGGUGGGGAUGACGUCAAAUCAGCACGGCCCUUAUGUCCGGGGCGACACACGUGUUACAAUGGAUGGUACAACAGGCAGCUACUUGGCGACAAGAUGCUAAUCCCAAAAACCAUUCUCAGUUCGGAUCGAAGUCUGCAACUCGACUUCGUGAAGCUGGAUUCGCUAGUAAUCGCGCAUCAGCCACGGCGCGGUGAAUACGUUCCCGGGCCUU
Molecule: ribosomal RNA, 465 nt
Filed under: uncultured bacterium
Lineage: Bacteria
Description: bacterial SSU rRNA
Rfam family: Bacterial small subunit ribosomal RNA
Source: RNAcentral